This 540-nucleotide ribosomal RNA is filed under the name Actinomycetales bacterium JAMSTEC29. RNAcentral's name for it is "bacterial SSU rRNA". It matches the Rfam family "Bacterial small subunit ribosomal RNA", at positions 870 to 1408 of the family's 1533-position model. Lineage: Bacteria; Bacillati; Actinomycetota; Actinomycetes; Actinomycetales. The record is from RNAcentral.
CGCCUGGGGAGUACGGCCGCAAGGCUAAAACUCAAAGGAAUUGACGGGGGCCCGCACCAGCGGCGGAGCAUGUUGCUUAAUUCGACGCAACGCGAAGAACCUUACCAAGGUUUGACAUCACCCGUGGACUCGCAGAGAUGUGAGGUCAUUUAGUUGGCGGGUGACAGGUGGUGCAUGGCAGUCGUCAGCUCGUGUCGUGAGAUGUUGGGUUAAGUCCCGCAACGAGCGCAACCCUUGUUCCAUGUUGCCAGCACGUAAUGGUGGGGACUCAUGGGAGACUGCCGGGGUCAACUCGGAGGAAGGUGGGGAUGACGUCAAGUCAUCAUGCCCCUUAUGUCUUGGGCUGCAAACAUGCUACAAUGGCCGGUACAAUGGGCGUGCGAUACCGUAAGGUGGAGCGAAUCCCUAAAAGCCGGUCUCAGUUCGGAUUGGGGUCUGCAACUCGACCCCAUGAAGGUGGAGUCGCUAGUAAUCGCGGAUCAGCAACGCCGCGGUGAAUACGUUCCCGGGCCUUGUACACACCGCCCGUCACGUCAUGAA